Molecule: long non-coding RNA, 1566 nt
Filed under: Olea europaea subsp. europaea
Lineage: Eukaryota; Viridiplantae; Streptophyta; Magnoliopsida; Lamiales; Oleaceae
Source: RNAcentral
AAAGGAUGAAGAACAAAUUGGCUAGUGGAUGCAAUAUUGAAGAUCAAACUCAACACUUGAAAAAUUAAAGAGGACGUUGAUUGCACAAUGGAGGAACUCAAGGACUACAUUGCAUUAACUUAAAAAGUGGAAUGACUUGAAGAAUAAUUAUGGUAUCAAUUGGUGUUGAUUUAACCCCUACAUGCAUACAUGAAUUAGAGUUUUCUUUAGGUAACAAAGGUGGCAAGCAAUUGGCAUUAUUAGAGUCUAUUUUGAAGUCAUAUUGUGGCUAGGUUAUUUUAUAUAUAUAAGCACGUACAAGCCAAGUAAAGAGAGGAGAGAGAGUCCUUUUCUUAGUCAACUAGGGUGGCCCUAGGUUUUUUAUAUAUAAUAUAUAUAUAUACAUACCAACUAGGAGGAAUGGAGGGGAGUUUUCUGAAGACAAAAAAAUCGGUGGAAACAGCCACAUAAAAAAAAAAGACGAACUGGAGAGGUGGAAUUGGGGAGACAACGUGGGGGAAUUGGUUGCUGGAAAUUGGAAUUACACACAUAUAUAUUUACCCCUUGCAGCCAGCAGAACGCACUUUCUGGGAAGGAGAACUGCAGCUGGCUAAAUACAACAAUUCGGAAGAAUUUCUGACGGCUGGACAAAAAUUCAAUUGCGGACUGCUAGGAUUAAUUGGAAGAAGGCCCGACACACAAUUGGAUAAAUCAAUUGAGAAACGUGUAAAGCAUAGAGGGAAGCCGAAAGCAGAUUUGGAGGCAAGAAUUGAAGCUGCCGGCAAUUAUUAUAUUUACAUACACACCAAUAGACGGCAGACGGCAGCUUGAGGAGGCAGAAUUGAGAAGUUCCAGCUGGGAUUACAAUUAAAUAUUGGAGGCACUCACAGAAAUUGAGGAGAGGCACACAGAGAAGCUCAGAAAUUGCUGGAAUUUAUCACUUAUACGCACAGGAAACCGAGGAAGAAUUGGACUCCAAACAUUGAAGCUGUCGGCUGGAGUAAAAUUGAAAUUUCAUUCACGUUUCGUCAAUUAAUCCCGGUGAUGUCAUCCAUUAUUUUAUCUUGUGUUUCUUCCAUUAUUAUGAAUAGCUAAAUUUGAUUUAGGGCGAACAAUCUAACUUAAUUGGAUACCUUUAUUUCGUUGAAUUAAGAUUCUAGUGCUUUAAUUUUUGAUGUGUUGAUUUUAAUGUCGUGCUUAAUGCUUUUAAUUACUUGAUAACUAAUUAGAGGAUUUGUGAACAAUGAUUGCGUAGAGAUACGGAUUAUUUGUUUAGACUACAUGUUAAAAUUCGGUAAAUUGAUAUAACGUGUAGAGAUACCUUUAUUGAUUGCUGCGGUCGUGUGUGAAUUAUUAGAAUUAAUGUUGCGUUUAAUUAAAUUUAAUUUGCAUAGAGAUAUGAAAUUGAACUAAUUAAAUAGGCUCAACGAGAACUUGAGAGGGGUAAGUUGAAUACCAUAGAAGAAUUUGAUCGAACACUACUUUAGGUUGUAUGAAUCUUGAUUUACGAAGUAAAGGUGACCAUUAGUUCCGCCCUAACGUCCUUUAUUAUUUGAAUUCUCAAUCAUUUUCUAUUGCAUCCAUUCG